GCAGCCGAAGCGAAAGCGAGUCUUAACAGGGCGUUCAGUCGGAAGGAGUAGACGCGAAACCAAGUGAUCUACCCUUGGGCAGGUUGAAGGAUGGGUAACACCAUCUGGAGGACCGAACCAAUAAGCGUUGAAAAGCUUCUGGAUGACCUGAGGGUGGGGGUGAAAGGCUAAUCAAACUUGGAGAUAGCUCGUACUCCCCGAAAUGCAUUUAGGUGCAGCCUUGACUUAUACUGGCAUGAGGUAGAGCGACUGAUAAGAUGCGAGGGCUUCACCGCCUAUCAAGUCUUGACAAACUCCGAAUGCGUGUCAGUUCUAUGUCAGGAGUGAGGGCAUGGGUGCUAAGGUCCAUGUCCUAAAGGAGAACAAUCCGGACCAACAGCUAAGGUCCCAAAAUGAAUACUAAGUUGAACUAACGAAGUCAGAUUGCUAAGACAGCUAGGAUGUUGGCUUGGAAGCAGCCAUUCAUUUAAAGAGUGCGUAACAGCUCACUAGUCGAGGAGUUUGGCGUGGAUAAUAAUCGGGCAUUAAGUAUUCUACCGAAGCUUUGGGAUGUGUAAACAUCGGUAGGGGAGCAUUCCACUCGGCGUUGAAGGUGAGGCGUGAGCCUUGCUGGAGCGUGUGGAAAAGCAAAUGUAGGUAUAAGUAACGAUAAAGGGGGUGGGAAACCCCCUCGCCGAAAGACUAAGGUUUCCUGAUCAACGCUAAUCGGAUCAGGGUUAGUCGGGUCCUAAGGCUCAGCCGAACGGCGAGGCCGAUGGCAGAACCGGUUAAUAUUCCGGUACUACCUCAAGGAGUGACGUGGAGACGGAGCAGUGACAGUGCCGCGGACUGACGGAAUAGUCCGUUAAAGGGUGUAGAUGUUGAUUCCUGCAGGCAAAUCCGCAGGAAGAGUCGAACCUGAUAGUAUGGAGCGUCCUUCGGGACAAUCCAAUAGUGCAUGUAAACAUACUCCCGAGAAAAUCCGCUAAACUUAAUCCUUGUGGUACCCGUACCGCAAACGGACACACGUAGUCGGGUUGAAUAUACUAAGGCGCUUGAGUGAUUCACGGUUAAGGAACUAGGCAAACUGACCCUGUAACUUCGGGAUAAAGGGUCCUCAGGGUGACUUGAGGCGCAGAGAAUCGGUCCAGGCAACUGUUUAACAAAAACACAGGGCUGUGCAAAAUAGAAAUAUGAAGUAUACAGCCUGACACCUGCCCGGUGCUGGAAGGUUAAGAGGAGAUGUCAUCGCAAGAGAAGCAUUGAAUUGAAGCCCCAGUAAACGGCGGCCGUAACUAUAACGGUCCUAAGGUAGCGAAAUUCCUUGUCGGGUAAGUUCCGACCUGCACGAAUGGUGUAAUGAUCUGGACGCUGUCUCAACCGUGAGCUCAGUGAAAUUGUAGUAUCGGUGAAGAUGCCGAUUACCCGCGAUGGGACGAAAAGACCCCGUGAACCUUUACUAUAGCUUAACAUUGAAUUUGGGUAAUUGAUGUGUAGGAUAGGCCGGAG
Molecule: ribosomal RNA, 1488 nt
Filed under: gut metagenome
Description: bacterial LSU rRNA
Rfam family: Bacterial large subunit ribosomal RNA
Source: RNAcentral